ACUUUGCAUAGUUUUCAUGAUUAGGCUAAGUUGAAACUUUUUAAUCGAUCUCUCAUUUCAGUAAAAAUCAUGAAAUCAAUUGAUUGAUCCACGGUAUAAAGGUUUUGAUAUUGAUGCUUUGGGGAAUCUCUUUCUCUACUUCCUAUUGUACUCAAUAAAUAUAAAAAAGGUAAAGCUUCUAUUAUUCCUCGAUAAUUUUUGUUAGAACUAAGAUGCAAUGAUGAAAAUUAGGCUAAAAUAGGUUUACUUUGUGCUCUGUAAGACUUGGGAAUGGCUCGAGAAGCUUUCUGUAUGUUAGGAGUCUACUCUUUAGGUUAAACUAGACUAUAUGUUGACUUUUUUUUAAUUUUUUUUUUAAAUUUUUAAUUUUAUUAUUUAUUUAUUUAUUUAUUUAUUUAUUUAUUGCAAUUCUUAUGGAACUACAUCUGCUUACUCUCUAUUUUGCUGCAAGAGUUUUAUAGUUAGAACUCCUUGAUCCUUAACUAUUUUUAGAAAAAAUGUUAGUAUUGUAGAAGGUUUUAAUUUGUUUAUGUUUUUGGUAAGAAUAUGAUUUGUAGAAUAUGGAAGAAUGGC
Molecule: long non-coding RNA, 573 nt
Organism: Lactuca sativa (garden lettuce)
Lineage: Eukaryota; Viridiplantae; Streptophyta; Magnoliopsida; Asterales; Asteraceae
Source: RefSeq, a predicted model, not a curated record